UACGUAGGGUGCAAGCGUUAAUCGGAAUUACUGGGCGUAAAGCGUGCGCAGGCGGUUUUGUAAGUCUGUCGUGAAAGCCCCGGGCUCAACCUGGGAAUUGCGAUGGAGACUGCAAGGCUUGAAUCUGGCAGAGGGGGGUAGAAUUCCACGUGUAGCAGUGAAAUGCGUAGAGAUGUGGAGGAACACCGAUGGCGAAGGCAGCCCCCUGGGUCAGGAUUGACGCUCAUGCACGAAAGCGUGGGGAGCAAACAGG
RNAcentral lists this ribosomal RNA (253 nucleotides) under uncultured bacterium. RNAcentral describes it as "partial 16S ribosomal RNA". It matches the Rfam family "Bacterial small subunit ribosomal RNA", at positions 524 to 776 of the family's 1533-position model. The record is from RNAcentral.